RNAcentral lists this ribosomal RNA (494 nucleotides) under uncultured bacterium. RNAcentral's name for it is "partial 16S ribosomal RNA". It matches the Rfam family "Bacterial small subunit ribosomal RNA", at positions 28 to 507 of the family's 1533-position model. The record is from RNAcentral.
GACGAACGCUGGCGGCGUGCUUAACACAUGCCAGUCGAACGGUGAAGCGCCUUCCUUUUUGGUGGGUGUGGAUGAGUGGCGAACGGGUGAGUAACACGUGAGUAACCUGCCCCCUUCUUCUGGAUAACCGCAUGAAAGUGUGGCUAAUACGGGAUAUUCUGGGUCUGUCGCAUGAUGGGUCUGGGAAAGAUAUUGUUUCGGUGGGGGAUGGGCUCGCGGCCUAUCAGCUUGUUGGUGGGGUGAUGGCCUACCAAGGCGGUGACGGGUAGCCGGCCUGAGAGGGUGGACGGUCACACUGGGACUGAGACACGGCCCAGACUCCUACGGGAGGCAGCAGUGGGGAAUAUUGCACAAUGGGCGCAAGCCUGAUGCAGCGACGCCGCGUGAGGGAUGGAGGCCUUCGGGUUGUGAACCUCUUUCGCCAGUGAAGCAGGCCUGCCUCGUUUGUGGGUGGGUUGACGGUAGCUGGAUAAGAAGCGCCGGCCAACUACGUG